Molecule: RNA transcript, 1822 nt
Organism: Calypte anna (Anna's hummingbird)
Lineage: Eukaryota; Metazoa; Chordata; Aves; Apodiformes; Trochilidae
Gene: FAAP20
Gene name: FA core complex associated protein 20
Exons: 4
Source: RefSeq, a predicted model, not a curated record
CAGCUCCUCCCGCCGGCGGGGCGAGAGGGAGCUCUGAGGCGGUGCUAGCGCGGGGCUGCUGCCGGAGGUUGUGCUGGGCAGGUCCGGAGCCUCGGCCAUGUCUGAGGAAGGAGCCGCCAAGCUGCGCCUCAAGGCCAAGAAAGCGCCGGCAGCCUGGAGCCGGGAGCACAGCCCGGGCCGGGAGUCCCCCAGGCCGCCCCAGCCACUGACUGGCAGAUGUUCCUGGUUUGAAAAAGAAGACUUAAAUGAGUGUGAAAAACCGUGGACUUUGUUACUGAAAAACAUCAGUCAAGAUUUACAGUGCACAAGCUGGCAAACAGUGCUCAGUUUCCCAGAGUUCCCUAGAAAGGUAGCGUGCUGCAUCCUGCACUCUGGGGACUCCUUACAAGAAGACAGCCUCAAUUCUGAGUUCUGAGGAAGAGAGCCCACAGAAACAAGAAGUCUUUACAGUUGGAAUAGAAGACUUUCCAUGGGUACCAUUCCCAUCUUUUUGCAAAGAAAAAAGUCUGAAGCCAAAGGAUCACCUGACACAGAGCCCCAACAACUGUCUGCACAGAGAACAGAGCCAAGCAGAUGAACUGCAGAGUUUGCCUUCUUCAGCUGAGCAAACAAACUGUGUAGAUGUUAGAGAUCAGAUAAGAACUAUAGUUGGGGAAGACAGAAAAUGCAUCUCAAAACUAGAUGCAAGUCCUAAAUCAUGUAAACUCCCUCCACAGAGAAGUUCUACACACCCCUUGGCAUUGUCACAAAGCUCUGCUAUAUCCUUUAGCUUUCAACAGCACUGCAGAGGGAGCAUACAGAACAGCAAGGAAAACAGAGAAGAAAAUUAUAGGAAAGAGCCUCAAACAGAAACACAUGAAGGGAACAUUUUGUGUGGUGAAGCCAGAUGCAUACCUGGGGAAGAGGCACCUCCUCUGGUGAGUGCAUCUGGAACUGAGAGCUGCAAAGAGAAGAUGGAAAAUCAGAGUGAAGGAUCUUCAACUCUUGACAGUUGUCCCAUGUGUCUGAUGCAGUUUAGUGGCACAGCGUCACAAAUGGAUAUUGAUGGCCACCUUGCCAAGUGUUUGUCUGAGAGUGCUGAUGAUGUCAUGUGGUAAAUCCAGGAGAAUGAAGAGCAAAGGAACAAGACCCAGGAUGAGCUUUUCUCACAGGAAAAGGUGUGUCAAGGAAGCACAUUCUUGUCUCAGACUUACUUGAGGAUCACAAAUAGAAGAAGGCUGAGUGCCCUCUGCCAGUGUGGGGUCUCCAUUUUCAGUCCUUUUACAUACAUGUAAAAUCAUUCCAAUGUUGAAAAUGGUGCUAGAGCAGGUCCCAGAGAUGCCCAGGAAAUGGGUCUUGGUCCUUCCAAAAUAAAAAUACUGCUGUAAAUCCCUGUAGAACCUGUUUUGUCUGCACCACAGUUCUGAAUCUUCAGAUGCAGAUGAAAGCAGCUGCACAAGAAGAUUCGUUUAAUCUGAUCCAGUUUACUAAUAUCUUUCUCUGAACAGGUAAUCUAUGAAAAUAAGCUUUAUUAUGAAGUCAGUCAAGCUUAGCAUUUUUAACUAUUAUAGUGUCUAAUAACUUACAUGAUUGUACAGCUGAUUCUGUGAUUAUAAUAAAACCCAGAGCAAAUAAAGGUGGUGGUGGGGAGGUGUUGUUAUUUUCAUCUCUAAGAAGGAACACAACUAAAUCCAUAACCUGUACUUAGAAACCCACAAAGUCAGCAUUCACUGAUUAACAUGACUAAUCCCAACUCACUUCUUCCUGCCAGUUUCACAACACUGAAAUACAAAACAAGAUUUAGUCUGGCAAAAAGCUGUUUUCUAUCAGUUCCCUACCUCUC